GCUCCCAUAGCUCAACGGAUCGAGCACGGGCCUUCUAAGUCUGGGAUGUAGGUUCGAUUCCUACUGGGAGCA
RNAcentral lists this transfer RNA (72 nucleotides) under bacterium. Its description in RNAcentral is "tRNA-Arg". It matches the Rfam family "tRNA". From Rfam's summary of the family: Transfer RNA (tRNA) molecules are approximately 80 nucleotides in length. Their secondary structure includes four short double-helical elements and three loops (D, anti-codon, and T loops). RNAcentral also lists the same sequence under 1 other name. The record is from RNAcentral.